UCCUACGGGGGGCAGCAGUGGGGGAUAUUGCACAAUGGGGGGAACCCUGAUGCAGCGACGCCGCGUGGGUGAAGAAGCGCCUCGGCGCGUAAAGCCCUGUCAGCAGGGAAGAAAAUGACGGUACCUGAAGAAGAAGCCCCGGCUAACUACGUGCCAGCAGCCGCGGUAAUACGUAGGGGGCAAGCGUUAUCCGGAUUUACUGGGUGUAAAGGGAGCGUAGACGGCGAUGCAAGUCUGAAGUGAAAGGCGGGGGCCCAACCCCCGGACUGCUUUGGAAACUGUAUAGCUGGAGUGCAGGAGAGGUA
RNAcentral lists this ribosomal RNA (305 nucleotides) under uncultured bacterium. RNAcentral describes it as "partial 16S ribosomal RNA". It matches the Rfam family "Bacterial small subunit ribosomal RNA", at positions 337 to 659 of the family's 1533-position model. The record is from RNAcentral.